Molecule: ribosomal RNA, 301 nt
Filed under: uncultured bacterium
Lineage: Bacteria
Description: partial 16S ribosomal RNA
Rfam family: Bacterial small subunit ribosomal RNA
Source: RNAcentral
CAGUAGCCGCGGGAAUACGUAGGUGGCAAGCGUUGUCCGGAAUUAUUGGGCGUAAAGGGCUCGCAGGCGGUUUGCACAGUCGGGUGUGAAAUUCCUGGGCUUAACCUGGGGGCUGCAUUCGAGACGUGUAGGCUUGAGUGGGGAAGAGGGUCGUGGAAUUCCCAGUGUAGAGGUGAAAUUCGUAGAUAUUGGGAAGAACACCGGUGGCGAAGGCGGCGACCUGGUCCUUUACUGACGCUGAGGCGCGAAAGCGUGGGGAGCAAACAGGAUUAGAUACCCCCGUAGUCCCUGUCUCUUAUAC